This is a long non-coding RNA of Chlorocebus sabaeus (green monkey), 465 nucleotides long. RefSeq lists it as uncharacterized. The record is from RefSeq and is a predicted model, not a curated record. NCBI's taxonomy places the organism in Eukaryota, Metazoa, Chordata, Mammalia, Primates, Cercopithecidae.
CGCCGCCCCGCUGGUACCUCCUCCAGUGUGCGGGGCUCACCUGAGCCAUCCGAGCACAUCUGAGCUACCGUAGGUCAGCGCGGGAGGAGGUCACAGGCAACAGGACGCCGAGCACCUCAGCUUAGAAAGUGAGACAUAUUUCUCCAUGGCAGGAACUUUGUUGUCCAGCUUCAAUGCUCCCAUUUGGAUUCAAGCUCGCGGACUGUGCGGUACGCUGUGUGCAGAGACGCGCCCAUAGCUCUGGGGAAACAAUAUGGCAAUGGCAGGUUGAAGGCAGAAAGCACAUCUGAAGCCGGAAGAAAUGCUGUCUGAACAAUUUGUUCAUCUAUUCAUUAAAAAAUGUAUUGAUCAUCUAUUAUAUGCCUGGUAGAGUAUGACACAAAGUGGGCAGAACACACAGGACAUGGUCUUCACCCUUAGGAAGUGUAAGUUCUUGCAGGGUAUUUUUUGAGGGGAAGGUAGCUU